AUACGUAGGUGACAAGCGUUAUCCGGAUUUACUGGGCGUAAGGGGCGUGUAGGCGGUCUUGCAAGUCAGAAGUGAAAUUCCUGAGCUCAACUCGGGCGCUGCUUCUGAAACUGCAGGACUUGAGUGCUGGAGGGGAUAGCGGAAUUCCUAGUGGAGCGGUAAAAUGCGCAGAUAUUAGGAAGAACACCGGUGGCGAAGGCGGCUAUCUGGGCAGUAACGGACGCUGAGGCGCGAAAGCGGGGGGAGCAAACAGGAUUAGAGACCCUGGUAGUCCCCGCCGUAAACGAUGAAUACUAGGUGUAGGGGGUAUCGACUCCCUCUGUGCCGCAGUUAACACAAUAAGUAUUCCGCCUGGGGAGUGCGGCCGCAAGGGUGAAACACAAAGAAAUUGACGGGG
This 397-nucleotide ribosomal RNA is filed under the name uncultured bacterium. RNAcentral's name for it is "partial 16S ribosomal RNA". It matches the Rfam family "Bacterial small subunit ribosomal RNA", at positions 523 to 918 of the family's 1533-position model. The record is from RNAcentral.